AAAGGUAGCGUAAUCAUUAGUUUUUUAAUUGAAAGCUUGUAUGAAAGGUUGGACGAGAUAAAUACUGUCUUUAUUUAAUUUAGUUUAGAAUUUAACUUUUGAGUGAAAAGGCUUAAAUUUAAUUAAUAGACGAGAAGACCCUAUAGAUCUUUAUAAUUUAUUUAUUAGCCGUGUUAGGAUUAUUUAUUGGUUAAUAAAAAUAUUUAUUUUAUUGGGGUAAUAUGAAGAUUUAAUAAAUUCUUUGAUUAAUAAACAAAGAUAAUUGAUUAUUUGAUCCAUUAUUAUUGAUUGCAAGAUUAAGUUACCUUAGGGAUAACAGCGUAAUUUUUUUUGAGAGUUCAUAUCGAUAAAAAAGU
This 356-nucleotide ribosomal RNA is filed under the name Tetracha pseudodistinguenda. RNAcentral describes it as "partial 16S ribosomal RNA". The record is from RNAcentral. Lineage: Eukaryota; Metazoa; Arthropoda; Insecta; Coleoptera; Carabidae.